GACGAACGCUGGCGGCGUGCCUAAUACAUGCAAGUCGAACGCAGUGGGGACGGGUGAGUAACACGUGGGUAACCUCCCAUCAGAGGGGAUAACACGUGGAAACAGGUGCUAAAACCGAUAUUGAUGGAUGGACCCGCGGUGGAUUAGCUAGUUGGUGGGGUAACGGCUCACCAAGGCCACGAUGCAUAGCCGGCCGGAGAGGGUGAGCGGCCACACUGGGACUGAGACACGGCCCAGACUCCUACGGGAGGCAGCAGUAGGGAAUCUUCGGCAAUGGACGAAAGUCUGACCGAGCAACGCCGCGGGAGUGAAGAAGGCUUUCGGAUCGUAAAACUCUGUUGUUAGGGAAGCGGUACCUAAACAGAAAGCCACGGCUAACUACGUGCCAGCAGCCGCGGUAAUAC
RNAcentral lists this ribosomal RNA (404 nucleotides) under uncultured bacterium. Its description in RNAcentral is "partial 16S ribosomal RNA". It matches the Rfam family "Bacterial small subunit ribosomal RNA", at positions 28 to 526 of the family's 1533-position model. The record is from RNAcentral.